Mustela lutreola (European mink) is the source of this 3594-nucleotide long non-coding RNA. RefSeq lists it as uncharacterized. The transcript is spliced from 4 exons. Lineage: Eukaryota; Metazoa; Chordata; Mammalia; Carnivora; Mustelidae. The record is from RefSeq and is a predicted model, not a curated record.
UAUUGGCCCCUCACCCUAGACCCUGUGGGGUGGGAUGUUGGCAAGUAUUUGGACAGGCCAGCUCUGGGUGGCUGGGAAGACCAGCAGGAAAGCCCACUUCUCUUGGCUCUGUAUCAUAAGUAAUCAUAAACUGAUAAAGUAGGCUUUAAGGGUGUGUGCCUACAUGUAUGUAUGUGGUAUGCAUGUAUGUGUGUGAACAUGCUGUGUAUGAGCAUGUGUGCCCACGCUUGCAUGUAUGAGUGUGCAUGUGUUCAGGAGGGGUAUGCAAGCAGGAGAUAAGGAUGAAGUGAAGUAGGGAGUAGACUUGUCUCAGGCAAGGAGACUGGCCUUGUCUUCCAUGAGUGGGGGUGGAGGCAGUCAGUGAGCGUAGAAGUUGGUCAGGUGGGCCAGGUCAGGCAAGCAAUGGGGACGGGGGAUGGCAGUGGCAGAGGAAGGUCUGGACCUUGAACAAGUCAGGCCCUGCUUUGGUCCUUCAGGUGGGAGUGUUGCAGGCUGCACCUAGGCUGUGCAGUUGAGACUCACUGCCAGACUCACCUGGACCUGGGCAGCAGAGGCUGUCCAGUUUCUGUUGACAAAGGAGCUGGUUCUUCACCUUACUCUGGAAGUAAGACAGAGCCAAGGCACAAAGAGAAGAGAAGAGAAGGGGCUGACAGAGUGAGCAAGGACUCAACUCCUUGACUGGGCCUCAUUGACUUGCUUCAGAUCCCAUGUCCUUCAUGGAAAAUAUCAGCAAGUCCAUGAACCAGGUCUUUCAUUAGAGAACUGCAGCGAGGGAUACUCAUGGUUUUGGCCUAGUGGGGCCCUUCUCUCUAGAAAGGGUCAGCAUAGUAAGUAAGAAUCAGCACUCCACAGAGAGGGUGGGCUGAGAAGCCUCCACAUGCCUGUGGAAAUCCAAACGCAAUUCUCCAGGACAGACUGUAUUCAAUAAAGGAAAGGACUCUUACUCAGAGUGGUAAUUGGGUUUUGAGGAUAAAGAUACAAAUCUGGGCCUUACUGAAGAUAGUUAUGUUAGCUUUUAUAUAUGACACAAAUUAUGUUUACUUUUUUAUGUAUAAUGCCAAUUGGUUGUUUUGGUGAUAUUUUCAUCUUAUUCCUCAUAUUUGGGUACCAUCACUGUCCACAAAGCACUUGGGCAGCACCGGUGGAGCCAUGAAAACAUCAGCUAGGACUCAGACUCAGUUUCUGGCCCUGCUGCCUGAUCUUAGGGAAGCCUCUUCACCCUUCUCAGCCUCAGUUUCUCUGUUGGUAAAACAAGAAAGCUGCACUAGAUCGUCCUUAAUGUGUGGCCGGGUUCUAACCUUCAGAGAUGCAGUGUGCCAUGUGCACAAGCACCCACAUGUGUGUGGGAUGGUAUCUGCGCGUGGCCAUAGAAUUGACAUAAAGAUCAAAUGUAAACAACAACAGGAGUAGAAAAUCUCUGUUUCUGAAAGAAAUUCACUGUCAAAUCCAACAUUAUUCACUUCUUAAUUUUCCAGUAUGCCUGACUUCGAUAAUAUGUUCUGCUUUAUACCAAAAGCCCAGAGGCAUGAAAUGGAUUAGCUCUUGGAAAGUUGGGAGGUAUCCAACACUUUCCUGACUGGUGUUCCAUAUUACAUUCCUGCUCUGUGAAUAUGACUGGAUGCUGAGUGAUAUAAUCAGUAUAAACCAUAGGCUUAGAAGUUAAGCAGAUUUGCUGCUCUGAAGCGGCCUGAGAGCCAGUGGAAGAAGAGCACACAGCACGGAAGAUGGGCUUCUUGACCAUUCCUGGAUCUCAGGGCAACUUCUUUCUGACAUGACCCUCAUCAUAGAGAUAAUUCUGCACAACAGGAGGCAAUGAGCAAUCACACUGAUAAACAGAUGACUAUGUGUCUAGAUGUUUCUGUAGCCAAGAUCAAAGAAGUUGUUGCCUGUGUUCUCCUCCAGGAUUUUGAUGGAUUCCUCUCACAUUAAGGUCUUUCAACCAUUUUGAAUUUGUUUUUGUGAAUGGUGUAAGAAAGUUGAUCCAGUUUCAUACUUCUGCAUGUUGUUGUCCAGUUUUCCAAACAGCAUUUGUUGAAAGGCUGUCUUUUUCCCAUUGGAUAUUAUUUCAUGCUUUGUCAAAGAUUAGUGGACCAUAGAGUUUAGAGUCCUAUUACUCUAUUCUGUUGAUCUGUAUGCCUGUUUUUGUGCCAGUACCAUAAUAUAUUGAUGAUUACAGCACUGUAAUUACAGCUUGAUGUCCAGAAUUGGGAUGCCUUCAGUUUUGGUUUUCUUUUUCAACAUUACUUAUUUGGGGUCUUUCCUGGUUCCAUACAAAUUUUAGAAAUAUUGUCCCAGCAGUGUGAAAAAUGCUGGUGUUAUUUUGAUAGGGAUUGCAUCAAAUGUAUAGAUUGUCAUGAGUAGUAUGGGCAUUUUAACAAUAUUCUUCCAAUCCAAGAGCAUGGAAUGUUUUUCCAUUUCUUUGUGUCUUCCUCAAUUUCUUUUAUAAGUGUUCUAUUAUUUUCAGAGUACUGAUCUUUUUACUUUUUUUGGUUAGGUUUAUUCCUAGAUAUCUUAUAGUUUUUGGUACAAUUAUAAACGGGAUCAAUUCCUUGAUUUCUCUUUCUGCUGCUUCAUUAUUGGUGUAUAGAAAUGCAAUAGACUCCUGUGUAUUGAUUUUAUAUCCUGAGACUUUGUUGUAUUCCUGUAUAAGUUCUGGUAAUUUUUGGUGAAAUCUUCUGAGUUUUCUACCUAGAGUAUCAUGUUAUCUGCAAAGAGUGAAAUUGUGAAUGAAAAAGAAUAUUAAGUCUUAAGCAGGAAAAAAAAAAAAGAAAGAAAGAAACUUUUCUGGAAAUGUCGGUGUGAAACUGGAAGAGGAAAUAAAAAAAUGAAAAUCCUAAAAACUACCAAAAAUGAAAGACAUUACACAGAAAGAAAAAUUAUCUUCAGAUUGGAAAUCACUUCUUAUCAGAUACACAAGUCUCCAGAAGAUAAUGGAAUAAUAUAUAUAAGAUGGAGAUGUAUGAGAAGUGGUCAAGGUAAUCAUAAUACUGUACCCAACAAACUGUCAUCCAGGAAUAAGGGAAAGAUAAAGGUUUUCAAGCCUAGAAAGACUAUGCCAAUUUAUUACUUAUAUAUCUUUUCUAAAAGAACUAAUUGAGGAUGUACUUUAGCAUGAAGAUUAUUGAACUUGGAAGGAAGUAUUUUUUUUAAAAAAGCAACAUAUAGUGUACAGAAUAAUUACAUAUGUAAAUCUAAAUUUUUUAUUUACUGACAGUAAAUAAUAGUAGUGAUUUUCCCCCAUGAAUUUAAAAGUAAGAUGUAUAAAAUACUAGAAAAAAUAAUAUGGAUAAUGAAAGUGACACUCUAGAGGAAAAGGAAAGCAAGCUGAUUUUGUUUUCAGGAGGGAGAAAACAAAGAAAGAAAUUACUACAAUAUUUGUGAGAAAAAAUAUAAGUUAAAGACAUAUGUUAAAAUUUUUAGGUACUGUUAAUGGUAGUAAAACCUGUCAAUAAAGGGAUGUGUUCCUUAAAUCAGGAUUGAACUGAAAGAAAACUGAAGUCAUGUUUAUUCACAAUUUCUUGUUGAGCAAAGAGCAUGGCUAUAACUGGCAGCUGGACCUGCAGAGAACCAGCGUUAGGAAUUACCUUUGGUAAA